GAUGAACGCUGGCGGCGUGCCUAAUACAUGCAAGUCGAGCGAACAGACGAGGAGCUUGCUCCUCUGACGUUAGCGGCGGACGGGUGAGUAACACGUGGAUAACCUACCUAUAAGACUGGGAUAACUUCGGGAAACCGGAGCUAAUACCGGAUAACAUGUUGAACCGCAUGGUUCAACAGUGAAAGACGGUUUUGCUGUCACAUAUAGAUGGAUCCGCGCCGCAUUAGCUAGUUGGUAAGGUAACGGCUUACCAAGGCAACGAUGCGUAGCCGACCUGAGAGGGUGAUCGGCCACACUGGAACUGAGACACGGUCCAGACUCCUACGGGAGGCAGCAGUAGGGAAUCUUCCGCAAUGGGCGAAAGCCUGACGGAGCAACGCCGCGUGAGUGAAGAAGGUCUUCGGAUCGUAAAACUCUGUUAUUAGGGAAGAACAAAUGUGUAAGUAACUAUGCACGUCUUGACGGUACCUAAUCAGAAAGCCACGGCUAACUACGUG
RNAcentral lists this ribosomal RNA (497 nucleotides) under uncultured bacterium. RNAcentral's name for it is "partial 16S ribosomal RNA". It matches the Rfam family "Bacterial small subunit ribosomal RNA", at positions 28 to 507 of the family's 1533-position model. The record is from RNAcentral.